GAUGGGGAGAGAAGUUUGCCUGCGGCGCAGUCCAGUGAACGUUUAGCGUGUUUCAUUUAGGGAACAGCAACAAGAGCCUGCAGAGAAGCUUUUCAAGGACUGUUGAGGAAUAUCUGACUGACACAGAAACACCACUCUCCAAGUUGACUUUUUUUUUUUUUUUGCUCUUUUGAAAGAAAAAAACAAAACAAUAGCUAUACCUUUACUUAUCAUUGAUGUCGCCAAACUAGUGGGAAGCUCGGGUCAGUAGGACAGCGGCCGCACGCGGACUGUUGUCUGUCGGAGGGUGCUUUUUAAAUUUAGGUUCCCGGAGAAGAAGAACAGAGCGAAACAGAAGGGGGGGGGAAAAGAAGAAGAAUAAGACAGUCCAAGAGAAGGCGAUAAAAGAGUCUGACUCAGAAUGAAUAACAACAAGAUCGAGAAAGAAAACGAGCAGAGUGAAUUCACCAACCACGAAGAGGAGGUACGAACACUAUUUGUCAGUGGGCUACCACUGGAUAUUAAGCCGCGGGAGCUCUAUCUCCUGUUCAGACCAUUUAAGGGCUAUGAAGGCUCCUUGAUAAAACUCACUUCUAAACAGCCAGUGGGGUUUGUCAGCUUUGACAGCCGAUCAGAAGCGGAGGCUGCUAAGAAUGCCUUGAACGGGGUCCGGUUUGAUCCAGAGAUCCCCCAGACCCUUCGGUUGGAGUUCGCCAAGGCCAACACCAAGAUGGCCAAGAACAAGCUGGUUGGCACCCCCAACCCCCUUCCCUCCCAGCAGAGCCCCGGGCCACAGUUCAUUAGCAGAGACCCAUAUUCGCUGGCUCCCACCUGCAGAUGGAACUCCUCAGGGAUGGAAGUCCAGGCAGUUCUGCUGAAGUAUGUGUUCUUGAUGUGUGAUGGUGGCCGUGGCCAGCUGUGACGGGCGUUGCCUCUCGUGUCCAAUUAGAAACCAGGAGGACUGACCUGACUCUGGCUCUUGGAGCAGCGUACCGUCGGCAGCAGCAGCCUCAUGGGCCUCAGGACAUUCUAGACCCCAGCCUCCAUCACACAUCGAGCCCACCCUCCCCAAAGUCCUUCCAACUCUUUUUUUUUUAUACUGUUACAUACUCAAAAUUUACCGGCAGCGCUUUGGCUACACCUCCUCUGACACCUCAAUGAAAGGUACCGGGCAUGCAUGACAAAGGCUCACACACCCUUUGUUUACCAGUUGACUGCGUCGCCCGUGUUAACGUUAGCAGGGCUCUUGCUGUGCAUUCUGUAUAUGCAAGUGUACCAAAGGAGUGUACAUUUUAUGCAGCCACUUUGCAAGGCCAGACGUAUGGAAGUGUGGCUAAAGCGCUGCUGGGUAAUAUUAUAAUACGACUAUAAUUAUUACUAUACUGUAUAUCAUUCAUAUUAAUGUUAUUAUGAUUAUUAAAUACAUGUUGAAGCAUGACUUUGCAAAAAAAG
Molecule: RNA transcript, 1431 nt
Organism: Perca flavescens (yellow perch)
Lineage: Eukaryota; Metazoa; Chordata; Actinopteri; Perciformes; Percidae
Gene name: RNA-binding protein with multiple splicing
Exons: 8
Source: RefSeq, a predicted model, not a curated record